Molecule: transfer RNA, 84 nt
Filed under: Trichophyton benhamiae CBS 112371
Lineage: Eukaryota; Fungi; Ascomycota; Eurotiomycetes; Onygenales; Arthrodermataceae
Description: tRNA-Ser
Rfam family: tRNA
About the family: Transfer RNA (tRNA) molecules are approximately 80 nucleotides in length. Their secondary structure includes four short double-helical elements and three loops (D, anti-codon, and T loops).
Source: RNAcentral
GGCACCGUGGCAGAGUGGUUAAUGCGUAAGACUUGAAAUCUUAUCCCUUAGGGGUCGCGCGUUCGAAUCGCGUCGGUGUCGCUA